This 209-nucleotide long non-coding RNA is filed under the name Oryza brachyantha (malo sina). RNAcentral's name for it is "long non-coding RNA (OBRA_LNC003677)". The record is from RNAcentral. Lineage: Eukaryota; Viridiplantae; Streptophyta; Magnoliopsida; Poales; Poaceae.
AGACGAAGCUUGCCUACCCUUUGAAACAGCAUGGGCCAGCUACUAUUCAUGUAACGUUCCACUAGCCUCUACUAAACAUUCUAUCCUACUAAAUUGGCCACUGUUGGCAGAGAGCGAGGUUGUCCGACAAAACUAAUACCUGAAGAGCCUAAACCUGUUACUAGCAACACUCCAGAGAACAUAGAGAAUGAUAGGAAGAAGACAAAUAG